CAUCAAAAUUCAUGGUUUCUGAUUUCCUUCAUCAAUCAUCGUGCAGUUCUUAUAUUUGUCGUGUCAAUGCAGAAAAUGCUAUCCCAAGUAAAAUUAUAAUAAAGUUAACUAGUGAUUUAUAAAAAGAAAAAGGGACUUACUAGUGUUAGCUUUCUGCUGGUUUUAUUUAUAGUACUUUGUCGAUUGUCGACAACUCUGCACAGUAGCUGUAGCUAUGGAUAAUGUUGUAUUUUCCGGAACAACCGGUGUGUGUGCAAAUAGAACUGAACUAUGGGCUUUACUAUCUUUCAGUUGUUGCUUAGCAUUUUGUGCAUGUUUGAUUUUCUUAGGUGGUAU
RNAcentral lists this unclassified non-coding RNA (336 nucleotides) under Hevea brasiliensis (rubber tree). Lineage: Eukaryota; Viridiplantae; Streptophyta; Magnoliopsida; Malpighiales; Euphorbiaceae. The record is from RNAcentral.